RNAcentral lists this unclassified non-coding RNA (376 nucleotides) under soil metagenome. RNAcentral describes it as "partial contains 5.8S ribosomal RNA, internal transcribed spacer 2, and large subunit ribosomal RNA". The stretch from base 1 to 120 matches the Rfam family "5.8S ribosomal RNA", at positions 35 to 154 of the family's 154-position model. The record is from RNAcentral.
GAUGAAGAACGUAGCGAAAUGCGAUAAGUAAUGUGAAUUGCAGAAUUCAGUGAAUCAUCGAAUCUUUGAACGCAUCUUGCGCUCCUUGGUAUUCUGAGGAGCAUGCCUGUUUGAGUGUCAUUAAAUUCUCAACUACACUGACUUUGAAUUGGUGUGGCUUGGAUUUGGGGGGAAAAUUGUUGUGGGCUUUUUGAAUAGUCUGCUCCCCUGAAAUUGAUUAGCGGUACCUUUGUGGAACUGUCUACAGGUGUGAUAAUUAUCUACAUCUUAGACAUCUGCUGGAAUGCUGCUUUCUAAACCUUACUUGUAUUGACAAUCUUGACCUCAAAUCAGGUAGGACUACCCGCUGAACUUAAGCAUAUCAAUAAGCGGAGGA